UUGAAUAAACUUGGUUGGGUUGCUGCUGGCUCUCCGGAGCAUGUGCACACUCACUCCAUUUUUAACCACCUGUGCACAUACUGUAGGCCUGAAUGAACUUUGUCGAGGAAACUCGGUUUGAGAACUGCUCAGCUGUUCUUGUAUUUCAGGUCUAUGUUUUUAAACAUAUACUCCAUAACAAGUUAUAGAAUGUUAAUU
This 198-nucleotide unclassified non-coding RNA is filed under the name Entoloma rimulosum. RNAcentral describes it as "sequence contains ITS1". The record is from RNAcentral. Lineage: Eukaryota; Fungi; Basidiomycota; Agaricomycetes; Agaricales; Entolomataceae.